CUGCAUGGCUGUCGUCAGCUCGUGCUGUGAAGUGUGGGUUAAGUCCCGCAACGAGCGCAACCCUAUCAUCUGCUGCCAGCAUUAAGGUGGGGACUUAGAUGAGACUGCCGGUGACAAACCGGAGGAAGGUGGGGACGACGUCAAGUCAUCAUGGCCCUUAUGUCCUGGGCUACACACGUGCUACAAUGGCCGGUACAGAGUGAAGCGAAACCGCGAGGUGAAGCAAAACGACAGAAAAGCCGGUCUCAGUACGGAUUGGAGUCUGAAACUCGACUUCAUGAAGUUGGAAUCGCUAGUAAUCGCGCAUCAGCAUGGCGCGGUGAAUACGUUCCCGGGCCUU
RNAcentral lists this ribosomal RNA (340 nucleotides) under uncultured Spirochaeta sp. RNAcentral's name for it is "bacterial SSU rRNA". It matches the Rfam family "Bacterial small subunit ribosomal RNA", at positions 1041 to 1382 of the family's 1533-position model. The record is from RNAcentral. Lineage: Bacteria; Pseudomonadati; Spirochaetota; Spirochaetia; Spirochaetales; Spirochaetaceae.